CAGUCGAACGAUGAAGCCUUUCGGGGUGGAUUAGUGGCGAACGGGUGAGUAACACGUGGGCAAUCUGCCCUUCACUCUGGGACAAGCCCUGGAAACGGGGUCUAAUACCGGAUAACACUCUGUCCCGCAUGGGACGGGGUUGAAAGCUCCGGCGGUGAAGGAUGAGCCCGCGGCCUAUCAGCUUGUUGGUGGGGUAAUGGCCUACCAAGGCGACGACGGGUAGCCGGCCUGAGAGGGCGACCGGCCACACUGGGACUGAGACACGGCCCAGACUCCUACGGGAGGCAGCAGUGGGGAAUAUUGCACAAUGGGCGAAAGCCUGAUGCAGCGACGCCGCGUGAGGGAUGACGGCCUUCGGGUUGUAAACCUCUUUCAGCAGGGAAGAAGCGAAAGUGACGGUACCUGCAGAAGAAGCGCCGGCUAACUACGUGCCAGCAGCCGCGGUAAUACGUAGGGCGCAAGCGUUGUCCGGAAUUAUUGGGCGUAAAGAGCUCGUAGGCGGCUUGUCACGUCGGAUGUGAAAGCCCGGGGCUUAACCCCGGGUCUGCAUUCGAUACGGGCUAGCUAGAGUGUGGUAGGGGAGAUCGGAAUUCCUGGUGUAGCGGUGAAAUGCGCAGAUAUCAGGAGGAACACCGGUGGCGAAGGCGGAUCUCUGGGCCAUUACUGACGCUGAGGAGCGAAAGCGUGGGGAGCGAACAGGAUUAGAUACCCUGGUAGUCCACGCCGUAAACGUUGGGAACU
RNAcentral lists this ribosomal RNA (741 nucleotides) under Streptomyces badius. Its description in RNAcentral is "bacterial SSU rRNA". It matches the Rfam family "Bacterial small subunit ribosomal RNA", at positions 59 to 817 of the family's 1533-position model. Lineage: Bacteria; Bacillati; Actinomycetota; Actinomycetes; Kitasatosporales; Streptomycetaceae. The record is from RNAcentral.